This 852-nucleotide ribosomal RNA is filed under the name Escherichia coli. Its description in RNAcentral is "partial 23S ribosomal RNA". It matches the Rfam family "Bacterial large subunit ribosomal RNA", at positions 335 to 1191 of the family's 2925-position model. The record is from RNAcentral. Lineage: Bacteria; Pseudomonadati; Pseudomonadota; Gammaproteobacteria; Enterobacterales; Enterobacteriaceae.
GAAGCGUCUGGAAAGGCGCGCGAUACAGGGUGACAGCCCCGUACACAAAAAUGCACAUGCUGUGAGCUCGAUGAGUAGGGCGGGACACGUGGUAUCCUGUCUGAAUAUGGGGGGACCAUCCUCCAAGGCUAAAUACUCCUGACUGACCGAUAGUGAACCAGUACCGUGAGGGAAAGGCGAAAAGAACCCCGGCGAGGGGAGUGAAAAAGAACCUGAAACCGUGUACGUACAAGCAGUGGGAGCACGCUUAGGCGUGUGACUGCGUACCUUUUGUAUAAUGGGUCAGCGACUUAUAUUCUGUAGCAAGGUUAACCGAAUAGGGGAGCCGAAGGGAAACCGAGUCUUAACUGGGCGUUAAGUUGCAGGGUAUAGACCCGAAACCCGGUGAUCUAGCCAUGGGCAGGUUGAAGGUUGGGUAACACUAACUGGAGGACCGAACCGACUAAUGUUGAAAAAUUAGCGGAUGACUUGUGGCUGGGGGUGAAAGGCCAAUCAAACCGGGAGAUAGCUGGUUCUCCCCGAAAGCUAUUUAGGUAGCGCCUCGUGAAUUCAUCUCCGGGGGUAGAGCACUGUUUCGGCAAGGGGGUCAUCCCGACUUACCAACCCGAUGCAAACUGCGAAUACCGGAGAAUGUUAUCACGGGAGACACACGGCGGGUGCUAACGUCCGUCGUGAAGAGGGAAACAACCCAGACCGCCAGCUAAGGUCCCAAAGUCAUGGUUAAGUGGGAAACGAUGUGGGAAGGCCCAGACAGCCAGGAUGUUGGCUUAGAAGCAGCCAUCAUUUAAAGAAAGCGUAAUAGCUCACUGGUCGAGUCGGCCUGCGCGGAAGAUGUAACGGGGCUAAACCAUG